UACGUAGGAUGCAAGCGUUGUCCGGAAUUAUUGGGCGUAAAGAGCGCGCAGGCGGUCUAUCCAGUCAGAUGUGAAAUAUCCCGGCUUAACCGGGAGGGGUCAUUUGAAACUGGUGGACUAGAGUACAGCAGAGGAUAGCGGAAUUCCCGGUGUAGUGGUGAAAUGCGUAGAUAUCGGGAGGAACACCAGUGGCGAAGGCGGCUAUCUGGGCUGAAACUGACGCUGAGGCGCGAAGGCUAGGGGAGCAAACAGG
RNAcentral lists this ribosomal RNA (253 nucleotides) under uncultured bacterium. RNAcentral's name for it is "partial 16S ribosomal RNA". It matches the Rfam family "Bacterial small subunit ribosomal RNA", at positions 524 to 776 of the family's 1533-position model. The record is from RNAcentral.